AAUCAACGCUGGCGGCGUGCCUAACACAUGCAAGUCGAGCGCGAAAGGGGAGCAAUCCCCAAGUAGAGCGGCGAACGGGUGAGUAACGCGUGGGUAAUCUGCCUCCGAGUGGGGAACAACAUCGGGAAACUGGUGCUAAUACCGCAUAACAUCGUCGGGUUUUCGGAUCUGACGAUCAAAGCCGGGGACCGCAAGGCCUGGCGCUUGGAGAGGAGCCCGCGUCCGAUUAGCUAGUGGUGGGGUAAUGGCCCACCAAGGCUUCGAUCGGUAGCCGGCCUGAGAGGGCGGACGGCCACACUGGGACUGAGACACGGCCCAGACUCCUACGGGAGGCAGCAGUGGGGAAUUUUUCGCAAUGGGCGAAAGCCUGACGAAGCAACGCCGCGUGGAGGAUGAAGGCCUC
Molecule: ribosomal RNA, 403 nt
Filed under: uncultured bacterium
Lineage: Bacteria
Description: bacterial SSU rRNA
Rfam family: Bacterial small subunit ribosomal RNA
Source: RNAcentral